RNAcentral lists this long non-coding RNA (1651 nucleotides) under Trifolium pratense (red clover). Its description in RNAcentral is "long non-coding RNA (TPRA_LNC012121)". Lineage: Eukaryota; Viridiplantae; Streptophyta; Magnoliopsida; Fabales; Fabaceae. The record is from RNAcentral.
UACACAAACUCAGUGAUAGAAUAUUCCAAGAGUUUUAAUGUAUUGUGAUGGCACCCUAUAAUUUUAUUUUCUUAUAUAUAUAGCUUUUAAAAUUUUGUUGAGUUGUUGGUUUUUACUUUAAAAUGAUACAAUUGAAAUGAAAUAAAGCAUCAAAGAAUAUUAUCUAUAUUUGCCUUGAUAAUAAUUAUACAAGUGAUAAUUAUCUAAAGAUGGAAAAAACAUAUUGUAUUAUGAACUGGCAGAACUAGAUAAUUCCUCUGGUGGAUCUAUUGUAGCUGGUAAUGAUGAUAGAUGUAACCUAGAAUAAAAAGAUGGUUAACCAUACAAAAUGAAUCAGCCGAAUAUUUAAACUUUUUGAGACUAUUCACCUCACAAAUGUCUUGGCAAAACGAACAAGAUAAUAACUAAUAACUGUGUUACACUAGUGAUUUUAAUUAUUUUAUAAUAUGAUAUGGUAUAAGGUGUUGAUUGCUAAGUAUGGGGAAGAGGAGGGGUCAGUGAGGAUGGGAGGGGUCGUGCAUUAGUGUGGUGCAAGGAUUUGUGGAAUAUUAGAGAGUGAGGUGAAAGUGUAGAUGAUUGUUGGUUUGAUAAUAACAUUCGUAGAGAGGUGGGUAAUGAGAAAGUUUUACCUUUUCGGAAAGAUAAAUGGUUGGAAAGAGUGGCAUUAAAUAGUAGAUUUUUUAGAGGUUAUAUGACCUUGUUUUAGGCAAAUGGUGGGAGUGGCGAUGGCGGCUUUUCAACAACAGACUUCCAAUAAAGCAUAAUAUACUCAGCCAUCAGGGAUCAUAAUUCUUCCACCACACUAUUUAGUGUAUGUUUUGGUAAUUUCAUGAGUGUUACGCCUAUAUACGACACAUUUGUUUAAAGAAUCAACAGUGGCAUAGGCUAGGGUUGAGACUUGGGAUGUUUCCAUCCUGUCGUACUUCUCACUAUUCUCACUCUCUCUUCUCUCUACUUUCUUUUUUAAAAUUUUAAUAUUUAUUUUCAAAAGAAUAAAACAUAAAUGUUUUUUAUUUUUCAAAAAAUAAAUUAAAAAUUAAUAAGCAUUAAACCGCUUGAUUUUAAGAAACUGCUUUUCGCCAGUUCUUUCCGAUUUGAGCCGAUUUCGCGCCAGAUUUCAAAGAUUUGGAUCAACUUCUAUUCAACAUGGGGUGCAAUUUUUAUUUUCUGAGUGUGAAGAGAGGAGAGAGAAAUAAAAAAUAAAAUAUGAUGAUGAGAGAGAAUGACACAUAAAAGAAACGAGAGAGAGGACAAAAGAAAAAACAGAACAGAUGAUCCAAAUUCGAUUUUUAGUGUCUUUAACAUGACCGAUUAGAUUAGACUGGUGACCCCACUGAUUCUCGAUCUGACCAUAACAAUCAAUUAAAUUCUAGGCUUAAAUGCAGUUUUAACCCCUCGAGGUUUACAAUUGCAUGAUUUUGGCCCCCUCAUUUCAAUUGCUUGAUUUUAACCCUAACAUUUCACAAUUGCUCGAUUUUAGCUCCCAAGUUUCAAUUGCUCGAUUUUGGCCACCUAAGUUUACCCCAUUUUGCAUUUGCUAGCCCCGUUGACUUUUUUGAUUAAAAAUUGGUUAUUUGAGAUUUUAAAAUUAAAUAAAUAUUUAAAAACAAAUAAAAAUGUUUUAAAUUUUAAAAAAAUGACAUUGUUUUUU